RNAcentral lists this ribosomal RNA (484 nucleotides) under uncultured bacterium. RNAcentral describes it as "partial 16S ribosomal RNA". It matches the Rfam family "Bacterial small subunit ribosomal RNA", at positions 28 to 507 of the family's 1533-position model. The record is from RNAcentral.
AUUGAACGCUGGCGGCAUGCUUUACACAUGCAAGUCGAACGGCAGCGCGGGCUUCGGCCUGGCGGCGAGUGGCGAACGGGUGAGUAAUGCAUCGGAACGUGCCCAGUCGUGGGGGCUAGCCCGGCGAAAGCCGGAUUAAUACCGCAUACGACCUGAGGGUGAAAGCGGGGGACCGAAAGGCCUCGCGCUAUUGGAGCGGCCGAUGUCGGAUUAGCUAGUUGGUGGGGGAAAGGCUUACCAAGGCGACGAUCCGUAGCUGGUCUGAGAGGACGACCAGCCACACUGGGACUGAGACACGGCCCAGACUCCUACGGGAGGCAGCAGUGGGGAAUUUUGGACAAUGGGGGCAACCCUGAUCCAGCCAUGCCGCGUGCGGGAAGAAGGCCUUCGGGUUGUAAACCGCUUUUGUUCGGGAAGAAAUCCUCUGGGCUAAUACCCCGGGGGGAUGACGGUACCGGAAGAAUAAGCACCGGCUAACUACGUG